GGUAGAGGCUGUCUUGUGGAAACGGCCACCGCAGGGUUGGCGGACUUGGGAAGGAGCAAAGAUGGCGGAGUGAGGCGUUCCGUGGCAUACCGGCCUUUGGGCCGGGGGUGGGUCGGCCCUGGGCGGUCAAGUGCUUCUGCUGGCUCGUGCGAGGAAGAACAUUUUCCUUGACUUUUAGGUACUUUUAUAUUCAUCUCGAGAAGAAAACAAAACUCCGAACUCAGGUUUUGGCAAGUAUUUCUGUGUCAUCUCCUAGAGUGAGUAAUCCUGCUUUGUUUAUCCGGCCACUUUCUCUAAUCUUGAAAUAUGGAUAUCUCUUCUCUACACUUUACCUCCAUGAUUUGGAUUGGAAAAGGCUGCUUGUCUAUUUUUUUCCACCUCUCAAAUUCAACUCAGAGAAGUUCCUAGGGUGCAGUCAUCCUGCAGACUUCUCCAGGAAGAAAGAAACAACUGACAUGUGUCUUCUGAUGCUAUCUGCUUAAUUGUAAAGAAAUUAUCUUGCAAGCCGAAGGCUGAUGUUAAAUUUGAAACAGGUGCUUAGAUGGUGAUAUUUGUGAAUUCUUUACCUUUUGUUCCCAACAAGAAGACUUAUAUAUAAAUAGCAAGUAUGGAUGACAUUAGGUUUUUUUUUUUAAUGUCUUCCAGUUUCAGCCACUAUCAUGAUAAGCACAGUUAAGACUGCAGUAGCAAAUUCCAAAUAUGUGUUGAAAUUUGAAAUGAGAGAUGAUAAAAAUUACAUAUGUGUCUAUUAAUAAAUCCUGGCUCAUCCUGUGACAUUAACUGGAUAAGAACAAAGAUCUAAUUUUGCAGUAAAACUUCUGAUGUGAUAAAGAAGCAUAAAGACAAACUAUCUGAAGGUUAAUUUCAUAUGUGAAUAAACCAUCACAAUCUCUGUAUAAAUACGUAUUUUUACAUGUGUAAAUCCACAUUUUUGAAUGAGAAGAGGGAUUUUUCUCCUAGAAAAAGAAGCUGUUGUUCUUCCUCGAAAGUCUUUGGACAUUUGGUAUUUUUAAAUGUUUUUUUCGUUCUUCUAAGGACCACAUUGUGCAGAUACUAACCCUAUGAAUGCAUGCUUGGGUUUAAUGAAAGGUUGGUAAAAGGAAACAAAAGUUUUGAGUCCAAUGAUGGAACCCUAUUCACCUCCGUAGGAUGAGAGGCUGCUGUAUUACCAAUUACUUCAUUCUUUUUUGUGGAGUCCUAUAUAGCUCUUGAGACUUGGUUUUCCGUGCUGCUAGGCUGGCAAAAAGGUGGCACGUAUGGUUUUUCUGCUCAGAAAAUGGUACGACCCUACAGUAUAACCUGCCUUCAACUUUGGACAUGGAGGAAUGUAGGGGGGAAAUGAGAAGUUUCCAUAUAACUUCCUUCUUCUAAGAAAAGACGUGAAAAUGCCUUAUGCAGCUCCACCUGACUUUAUGGCAUUUUACAUUCUAUAGCUGUUUUUUUGUAAAAUCAUAAAUAACUUUUUUCCUUUGACUCAAGAUUGGUACUUGGAUGUUUGAUUUAUUUUUCUAGAUAGCUGUAAUGUUAGGCUGAAUAGGCUUGGGACUCAGGUAACUUUCUCCAAUUGGAACGUUCUCAUCAGCAAACGGGCCUUAGAAGCAGUGUUCCCAAACUUGUGGUUGGAUCAGUGUUGAUUUAGAAGAAAUUCAGGGUCUGAAAAAAACCUCAAACAAGAAAAAUCGUUCCAAUAAGAAAUAGGCUCUUCCUUCUCUUCCCUUAAAACUUAUACUAUAUGAUGAACAGACUAUAGUUCUAAAGCUGUUCUUAAAAAUCAACAGAGGACCAUUGUAUGAAUUGUCAGGUCUUUACAUGAGAGUGAAACCUUCAUGAGUCUUUGAGUAGAGAAAGGAUUUAAAGCUUCUUAGAUGAAAUUAAGAACAAAUCAUCCUAGAUUAUAUCUGUGAUUUAGGGACUGUUUUCCCAGGGCCAUACAUGCUAUAAUGCUGAAAACUUCAGAUUUACCAAAAUUUGAGAGUAAUAGAAAUCGCCAAAAAGUGGAAAUGUUGAGCCCUCUUGAUUAGUUUCAUUGGUCAACCAAUUUUAAUUGGCAUAGGAAGCUUUUUAGUAAAAUAAUUACAUCAUAUAGGUAAAUAAAUAAUUUCCUUUGAAGGCUAUUACUAAGUGGUAAAGCAUAGAAGUAACUUUGGAUAAAGGUAACUUAAGUUUUUCUCUAAAUUCCCAGCCAUCUUCUAGUAUUUUAAUAUUUUGGAAUUGUUAAAGACAGAAUGGAACUUUUAAACAUGGGUCUGUCCCAUUGGUACGUUGAAAAUACAAUAUUAUGGAGAA
Hipposideros armiger (great roundleaf bat) is the source of this 2286-nucleotide long non-coding RNA. RefSeq lists it as uncharacterized. The record is from RefSeq and is a predicted model, not a curated record. Lineage: Eukaryota; Metazoa; Chordata; Mammalia; Chiroptera; Hipposideridae. The transcript is spliced from 3 exons.